Chanos chanos (milkfish) is the source of this 77-nucleotide small nucleolar RNA. RefSeq annotates it as small nucleolar RNA SNORD61. The record is from RefSeq and is a predicted model, not a curated record. The transcript has a single exon. NCBI's taxonomy places the organism in Eukaryota, Metazoa, Chordata, Actinopteri, Gonorynchiformes, Chanidae.
GCAAUGAUGACAUUCUGUGACGUUGAUCUCUUUGAGCUGAUAAUGUCCACAAUUGUCCUCUAAGAAGUUCUGAGCUU